This 400-nucleotide ribosomal RNA is filed under the name phytoplankton environmental sample. Its description in RNAcentral is "partial small subunit ribosomal RNA". It matches the Rfam family "Eukaryotic small subunit ribosomal RNA", at positions 587 to 990 of the family's 1831-position model. The record is from RNAcentral.
AGCUCCAAUAGCGUAUAUUAAUGUUGUUGCAGUUAAAAAGCUCGUAGUUGAAUUUCUGGGUAGUGCGCCCUGUCCGCCUAUGGUGUGCACAGGGAACGGCGCUACUCAUCCUUCUGAAGAACCCAUCAGUCAUUCAUUUGUCUGGUGGUGGAUCAGAUACUUUACUUUGAAAAAAUUAGAGUGUUCAAAGCAGGCUUUUCAAGCCCGGAUACAUGAGCAUGGAAUAAUGGAAUAGGACCGCGGUUCUAUUUUGUUGGUUUCUACGACCGCAGUAAUGAUUAAGAGGGACAAUUGGGGGCGUCCGUAUUUCGUUGUCAGAGGUGAAAUUCUUGGAUUUACGAAAGACGAACAACUGCGAAAGCAUUCGCCAAGAGUGUUUUCAUUAAUCAAGAACGAAAGU